Molecule: ribosomal RNA, 493 nt
Filed under: uncultured bacterium
Lineage: Bacteria
Description: partial 16S ribosomal RNA
Rfam family: Bacterial small subunit ribosomal RNA
Source: RNAcentral
GAUGAACGCUAGCGGCAGGCCUAACACAUGCAAGUCGAGGGGUAGACAUUUUCGGAUGUUGAGACCGGCGCACGGGUGCGUAACGCGUAUGCAAUCUACCUUUUACUAAGGGAUAGCCCAGAGAAAUUUGGAUUAAUACCUUAUAGUAUGUUUGAAUGGCAUCGUUUAAACAUUAAAGAUUUAUUGGUAAAAGAUGAGCAUGCGUCCCAUUAGUUAGUUGGUAAGGUAACGGCUUACCAAGACGAUGAUGGUUAGGGGUCCUGAGAGGGAGAUCCCCCACACUGGUACUGAGACACGGACCAGACUCCUACGGGAGGCAGCAGUGAGGAAUAUUGGUCAAUGGAGGCAACUCUGAACGGCCAUGCCGCGUGCAGGAUGACGGUCCUAUGGAUUGUAAACUGCUUUUGUACAGGAAGAAAAAGAGUUACGUGUAGCUUAUCGACGGUACUGUAAGAAUAAGGAUCGGCUAACUCCGUGCCAGCCGCCGCGGUAA